This 1430-nucleotide long non-coding RNA is filed under the name Ursus americanus (American black bear). RNAcentral's name for it is "lncRNA (ENSUAMG00000020132.1)". The record is from RNAcentral. Lineage: Eukaryota; Metazoa; Chordata; Mammalia; Carnivora; Ursidae.
AAGGUGGGAGUAGGUGUUUAGCACCAUCUGCCUUCGUUUGAUGAAUCUGGCUGAGCUUUUCAGCUGCUGCUUUCAGAGGGAAAAGCUGUGCUCUCUAAAGAAAAGAGGGACAGAAUUCUUCACUGUUGCUUUUGAAGUAGUCCUGCCUAGAUAUGGGCCGAGGAUCUUCUCAUCGAUGGCUUGUAAAAAUUUCAAGCAAUUAGCAAACUGUCUUCCAGCUGAUGAGGAAUAUGUGACCAACGACAUGACUGACCUGAGGAACCGCCUUAAAAGAGAACUUUCCCAGACUGGUGUAAUGAUUACUAUAAAACUGCCAUUAUUGGAGAUGCAUUCUUUUAGCGUCAACCACAGCUCACCAUGCAGUGUGUUUUCAAAGUGCGAAAUACUGAUGGGGAUACACACUGCUUUAGACACUCUGGCUUCAGUGUGAUUUAACUGAGUGGUGUAGGGACUCCGGGCCCUAUGACAGCUCUGGGUGAGGAUGGGUGGGGAAGGAAAACAGAGGUUAAAAGCAAGGGGCAACAUUUCAAGAGAGGAGAAGACACCUGAGUUAACGGUGUCACCUGCAGAGGGCAGUCCUGGGAAAGUGGUUCUUGUCUGGUUCUGAUGCAACACGAGAGCAUGAGCAGACUCAGUGCCAGGAACCUCCUGUGUAUCUAGGGAAAGGCUCAGGGGACAGAGGUCUGUGUUUAAUGCAGGUUGCCAUUUCAUUAAUAUGACCACCAUGCAUUCGAUAGUCAUCCGUACUUUCCAGGGUGCCUCCUCAUAGGAGGGGGAUGCAGUAGAAUGGAGCAAGGGGGAGAGUAGGGACAGCCAAUUGCAGGGAGGACGAUGCUGUCUAGCUCAGGGAAGUUCACUGGUUUUCCUGACAUCAUAAGGUCAGAGCUGGUGUACUGACCACCUGGGUGGAUUCCCAGGAGAUUAAGGUUGCAACCGGUGGUGGUGUUGGUGGUGGACAGGUCUGUAAACUCUCUGACAUGGUGUUUACAGCUAAUGUUUUGCAUGUGCACACAUGCAUUUUUAUUGCAGAGAAUUUCACCAUAUUCCCCGGGUGCUCCUCAAACCACAAGGGUUGAAGACCUGCCGGCUGUUCAGUGUGUUGCUGGCGUGGUACUGGAAAAAAUCCACAACCUUUCUGGGGAGAGAUUGGGGUCCACAAGUGAAGCGGGGAGCCCAGGCUGGCAGGCACAGGACCUCAGAGUCCCUCUGCUCCCAACUUUGCUCGAAGGACCUACAAAGGCCAACGGCUGGCCACCGCAAAAUGUGCCCUUUUGGCAUAUUGAUUAUUUUAAAUGAAAGUCACCUAAGACACAGCCAUUGCAAGAAUACUCAGACCCCACGUUUGUCCCCCUGAAAGCAGGAAACAAAUCUUCCAUAUGGAAAACACCCUCCCUGCACUAAGAAGACAUCCUUAUCACCAAGAAAGCUGU